GCUGCUGUAACUCAGACGGUAGAGUACUUCCUUGGUAAGGAAGAAGUCACGGGUUCAAGUCCCGUCAGCAGCUCCA
This 76-nucleotide transfer RNA is filed under the name Eubacteriales Family XIII. Incertae Sedis bacterium. RNAcentral describes it as "tRNA-Thr". It matches the Rfam family "tRNA". From Rfam's summary of the family: Transfer RNA (tRNA) molecules are approximately 80 nucleotides in length. Their secondary structure includes four short double-helical elements and three loops (D, anti-codon, and T loops). Lineage: Bacteria; Bacillati; Bacillota; Clostridia; Peptostreptococcales; Anaerovoracaceae. The record is from RNAcentral.